RNAcentral lists this unclassified non-coding RNA (1744 nucleotides) under Nostocaceae cyanobacterium HA4199-MV4. RNAcentral's name for it is "bacterial SSU rRNA". The stretch from base 1 to 1164 matches the Rfam family "Bacterial small subunit ribosomal RNA", at positions 356 to 1533 of the family's 1533-position model. Lineage: Bacteria; Bacillati; Cyanobacteriota; Cyanophyceae; Nostocales; Nostocaceae. The record is from RNAcentral.
GGGGAAUUUUCCGCAAUGGGCGAAAGCCUGACGGAGCAAUACCGCGUGAGGGAGGAAGGCUCUUGGGUUGUAAACCUCUUUUCUCAGGGAAGAAAAAAAUGACGGUACCUGAGGAAUAAGCAUCGGCUAACUCCGUGCCAGCAGCCGCGGUAAUACGGAGGAUGCAAGCGUUAUCCGGAAUGAUUGGGCGUAAAGCGUCCGCAGGUGGCUUUGUAAGUCUGCUGUUAAAGAGUCAUGCUCAACAUGAUAAAGGCAGUGGAAACUACAAGGCUAGAGUGCGUUCGGGGCAGAGGGAAUUCCUGGUGUAGCGGUGAAAUGCGUAGAUAUCAGGAAGAACACCGGUGGCGAAAGCGCUCUGCUAGGCCGCAACUGACACUGAGGGACGAAAGCUAGGGGAGCGAAUGGGAUUAGAUACCCCAGUAGUCCUAGCCGUAAACGAUGGAUACUAGGCGUGGCUUGUAUCGACCCGAGCCGUGCCGUAGCUAACGCGUUAAGUAUCCCGCCUGGGGAGUACGCACGCAAGUGUGAAACUCAAAGGAAUUGACGGGGGCCCGCACAAGCGGUGGAGUAUGUGGUUUAAUUCGAUGCAACGCGAAGAACCUUACCAAGACUUGACAUGUCGCGAACCCUCUUGAAAGGGAGGGGUGCCUUCGGGAGCGCGAACACAGGUGGUGCAUGGCUGUCGUCAGCUCGUGUCGUGAGAUGUUGGGUUAAGUCCCGCAACGAGCGCAACCCUCGUUUUUAGUUGCCAGCAUUAAGUUGGGCACUCUAGAGAGACUGCCGGUGACAAACCGGAGGAAGGUGGGGAUGACGUCAAGUCAGCAUGCCCCUUACGUCUUGGGCUACACACGUACUACAAUGCUCCGGACAGAGGGCAGCAAGCUAGCGAUAGCAAGCAAAUCCCGUAAACCGGAGCUCAGUUCAGAUCGCAGGCUGCAACUCGCCUGCGUGAAGGAGGAAUCGCUAGUAAUUGCAGGUCAGCAUACUGCAGUGAAUUCGUUCCCGGGCCUUGUACACACCGCCCGUCACACCAUGGAAGCUGGCAACGCCCGAAGUCAUUACUCCAACCUUUCGAGGAGGAGGAUGCCUAAGGCAGUGCUGGUGACUGGGGUGAAGUCGUAACAAGGUAGCCGUACCGGAAGGUGUGGCUGGAUCACCUCCUUUUAGGGAGACCGAAUCCACUCAAAUAUCGAAAGCAAUCAGUAAAUAGAUAUAAGAGAUGGUCAUUCCUAGGUCGGUCGCAACUAUUUGUGAGAGCUUUCAAACUAUGAUUGGUUCGGAAUUGGGCUAUUAGCUCAGGUGGUUAGAGCGCACCCCUGAUAAGGGUGAGGUCCCUGGUUCGAGUCCAGGAUGGCCCACCUGAAGAAGUAAAAAACCAAAAGUAAAAAGUAAAAACAAAGAACUUGAUUAUUUCUUUUGCCUUUUAACUUUUGCCUUUUCAUCUGGGGGUUUAGCUCAGUUGGUAGAGCGCCUGCUUUGCAAGCAGGAUGUCAGCGGUUCGAGUCCGCUAACCUCCACCUGUAGGGAAAACCAAAAGCCGGAAAAGAGAGUGAGAAUUCAGCAACAUGACAAUUGAGUCAGACUGCUGAGUGCAUCUCAGCCAGAACCUUGAAAACUGCAUAGUAACGCGAAAAAAGCAGGCAGACACAGACAUUCAAGUAAUGUUAAGUGUUUGCAUGGUGAACACCAAAUGUAAUGUGGUCAAGCUAAUAAGGGCUUACGGUGGAUACCUAGGCACACAGAG